This 253-nucleotide ribosomal RNA is filed under the name uncultured bacterium. RNAcentral's name for it is "partial 16S ribosomal RNA". It matches the Rfam family "Bacterial small subunit ribosomal RNA", at positions 524 to 776 of the family's 1533-position model. The record is from RNAcentral.
UACGUAGGUGGCAAGCGUUGUCCGGAUUUAUUGGGUUUAAAGGGUGCGUAGGCGGCUUUGUAAGUCAGUGGUGAAAUACUCUAGCUUAACUAGAGGGGUGCCAUUGAUACUGCGGAGCUUGAGUACAGAUGAGGUAGGCGGAAUUGACGGUGUAGCGGUGAAAUGCAUAGAUAUCGUCAAGAACACCGAUAGCGAAGGCAGCUUACUGGGCUGUAACUGGCGCUGAUGCACGAAAGUGUGGGGAUCAAACAGG